RNAcentral lists this ribosomal RNA (459 nucleotides) under uncultured bacterium. Its description in RNAcentral is "bacterial SSU rRNA". It matches the Rfam family "Bacterial small subunit ribosomal RNA", at positions 33 to 507 of the family's 1533-position model. The record is from RNAcentral.
ACGCUGGCGGCGUGCCUAACACAUGCAAGUCGAACGGAGUCGGCCCCGCAAGGGACUGACUUAGUGGCGAACGGGUGAGUAACGCGUGAGCAACCUGCCUUUCAGUGGGGGACAACAUUUGGAAACGAAUGCUAAUACCGCAUAAGACCACAGUGUCGCAUGGCACAGGGGUCAAAGGAUUUAUCCGCUGAAAGAUGGCCUCGCGUCUGAUUAGCUAGUUGGUGAGGUAACGGCCCACCAAGGCGACGAUCAGUAGCCGGACUGAGAGGUUGAACGGCCACAUUGGGACUGAGAUACGGCCCAGACUCCUACGGGAGGCAGCAGUGGGGAAUAUUGCACAAUGGAGGAAACUCUGAUGCAGCGACGCCGCGUGAGUGAAGAAGUAAUUCGUUAUGUAAAGCUCUAUCAGCAGGGAAGAUAGUGACGGUACCUGACUAAGAAGCUCCGGCUAAAUACGUG